GCUAUGCAUUUGAAGCGAAAAGCCUUUUGCUUUAAAAUGGUGAUUUUUGUCAAUGAAAAACAGCGACCAACGGAAGCUGCUUUUUUGUUGUGCCAAAAAUAGCAUUUUAUGUAAAAGCUUGCAGCGGAAAGCCGGAUUGGGU
Molecule: unclassified non-coding RNA, 142 nt
Filed under: Flavobacterium noncentrifugens
Lineage: Bacteria; Pseudomonadati; Bacteroidota; Flavobacteriia; Flavobacteriales; Flavobacteriaceae
Description: Flavo-1 RNA
Source: RNAcentral